This 312-nucleotide long non-coding RNA is filed under the name Nicotiana tabacum (common tobacco). RNAcentral describes it as "long non-coding RNA (NTAB_LNC014045)". The record is from RNAcentral. Lineage: Eukaryota; Viridiplantae; Streptophyta; Magnoliopsida; Solanales; Solanaceae.
AGCUUUCCGCCAUGGCUGCUUCCAAUACACCCAGCUCCAGCAUCAUUAACGUCAAACAGAAAUUUUGGACAACAUUUUCGCACCAUUUCUGUUGAUCUUCUUGGAUUUCAAUCUGAGUUUCGAAGUGAUAAAAGUCAAGUGAGUAAAAUGUAACGAAUUAGCGGGUGUUCAUUUGAAUGUUCAGGGUUUUGAGAGUUUGUUUCAGUGCUCAUUUGUAUUAUUCUUCGAACAUCAAAUUAAUUGGAGCAGUCGUUCGUCCGGGAGCAUUCAAGUGAUUUUGGGGCGAUAAUCGUUUCCGGACAGAUUUGUUUU